RNAcentral lists this ribosomal RNA (495 nucleotides) under uncultured bacterium. Its description in RNAcentral is "partial 16S ribosomal RNA". It matches the Rfam family "Bacterial small subunit ribosomal RNA", at positions 28 to 507 of the family's 1533-position model. The record is from RNAcentral.
GACGAACGCUGGCGGCGUGCCUAAUACAUGCAAGUAGAACGCUGAAGGAGGAGCUUGCUUCUCUGGAUGAGUUGCGAACGGGUGAGUAACGCGUAGGUAACCUGCCUGGUAGCGGGGGAUAACUAUUGGAAACGAUAGCUAAUACCGCAUAAUGGUAGAUGUUGCAUGACAUUUGCUUAAAAGGUGCAAUUGCAUCACUACCAGAUGGACCUGCGUUGUAUUAGCUAGUUGGUGGGGUAACGGCUCACCAAGGCGACGAUACAUAGCCGACCUGAGAGGGUGAUCGGCCACACUGGGACUGAGACACGGCCCAGACUUCUACGGGCGGCAGCAGUAGGGAAUCUUCGGCAAUGGACGGAAGUCUGAACGAGCAACGCCGCGGGAGUGAAGAAGGUUUUCGGAUCGUAAAGCUCUGUUGUAAGAGAAGAACGAGGGUGAGAGUGGAAAGUUCACACUGUGACGGUAUCUUAACAGAAAGGGACGGCUAACUACGUG